CUUUCUCCCCGGUUCUAUCACAGAGGCGUCGCAGUCAGCAGAUGUGGUGUGUGGAUGUUUAGAUGUUGUUGGUAAGCAGUAUGAAACUGAAAAAUAGAACUUGUAUCAUCCUGUGAGAAUAUAGCACGAGUGUGGCUCCUACUGUGUGUACUUAUGGAAGGAGUGCUGAAGUAUAACAUUUAGAUAAGGCUGGUUGGCAUUCAGGAGCAGUAAAAGAAAGAUUAGGAACAAAGCAAAUGUUUUGAUGUUGUGGAUCAUGAAACUUUUACUGAAAGAAGAUUUGAAAUGAACUGUGUGUUGUAUUUUUUGUAUUUAGUUUUUGUCAGUGAUGGGAAUAACGGCGUUACAAGUAACGGUGUUAUUAACGGCGUUACUUUUUUCAGUAACGAGUAAUCUAACUAAUUACUAUUCCUAUCGUUACAACGCCGUUACAGUUACUAAGAAGGAAACGCGGUCCGUUACUAUUUUUCAACAAACAGACGGUUGCAGCUGUGUUCAGCUUACCGCAUCUUAUAUCAGCUGCACGGAAGUAGCUGUAAGUAAUCUGGACGCUACAGCUUUAAGCAGCUGCGCGCUCCCGCGGACGGCAAUCACAAUCACUGUCUAGCACAACAGCUGGAGCUCAGGAGGCAAAACAAUCGCAUGAGUGCUGCUGUUUGACUGAGGAAGAAUAAAGUAGUCGUGGUAAGUCAAUCACAUGACCACUUAAAGACAAAGCAACAAGGUGACAUAUACCAGUUUAUAAAUUGUGUUGAUAGGCCACGUAAAACCAGAGUCAUGAUAAACAAGAUAUACGCGGCGUUUUUUCCUCAAUAGUUUCGCCAAGUUUACUGUCUAACGACAGCGCAGCGAGACCUCUCUGCUUAUGAGAGAAAAACAAAAAAACGGUUAGUUUUAGGAAUGACGGAGAGAGAGAGAGAGAGAGAGAGAGAGGGGGGGGGAGAGAGAGAGAGAGCAGAAAAAGUGUUGUGGAUAGUUUUGUGUUGUGUGUCAGAACAAUGAGGCGACUGCUGUCUCCAGGUAGAAACAGGAGUGAUACACCUGCUGCUGUCAGACCUGCAGGUCAGAAUAUCAUUAAGUGUCACACUUUGACAAGUUCAUCAGCUGGUAACAAACCUGUUCACAGCUCAGAUCCAGACUCAGAUUUGGUGCCUUUCAGUGUCUGAAGAUGUGUUCGAGUCUCUCCACCAGCCGCCUGAUUCUUCUGAUCUCCCUGAGUGUGAUGAUGCUCAUCUCUGUAUCAGGAGCUGACCACGUGGGAAAUACCUGCUAUAAAACAUAUUCUAACCAAAAUGCAAGAACCACGUUUGCACCUAAAUGGGCCAAAAACAUCAUCAGCUGCGUUGAAGACAACAGACAUGGCUGCCUUCAUGGCUAUGAGGUCAAAAUAAGCAGAGGAAGAACAUUUUUCCUCAGACCAAACACCGAGUGGCUUAAAAGGAAAAUAAAUGAGGGAACUCUGCUGUGUCCUCCAAUGUUUUCUAAAUGAUGAUGAUGGAAACGAUGAAACAAAAGCUGUAGGACACAAGACCCUAGUGUUUUUUGCCCAUUAUUCAUUAUUAAUUCUUUUCUUCUUUUUUUUCUUUUUUCUUCUUCUUUCACCACCACAGGGAACUCUGUUGUGUCCUCCAGUGUUUUCAAAUAAACAUGUAUAAGCUAUUAAUCUUUAAUGAGUCCUCCCACUGUAGUUUGUAUAUUCCAGCUGCACCACAGUGUUUAGAAGCAGUGACUGUCUGUCAUCUUGUCUCGUAGGUUUCUUAAUUCACACAGUGAUUUUCAUAGAUUUAAUCUAAGUAUAGAUGAUGAAAAUGAUGAAACAAAGUUAAAGUAAAGCAGCUGCUGGAAACAUUUCUGCUCAUUUAUUAGUUCACACUUUGACAGAAAUAUUUGUUAAGAAAUGUAAAUUAUUUUUUGCAAAUUAUUCAUAGCACCUUAACAGUCUUGUGUUCACAUAUAUAUAUAUAUACAAUACAAUACAAAACAAUUUUACUAUAUAACAUGUUUAAAGCCAGGGGGUACACCAAAUUGCUUCACAGUAAGGAAUAAAGAGUAAAAUGAUAACACUGAACAGUAAGUCAUUAAAACAAUGUAAAAUAGAGAAACAAACAAAGGCAUUAGUAAGUAGGGAUUGGCAGAAUUCAUGAUAAUCCCGAGAAAUGAGUAAAGAUACGCCAGUUAGUGAUUGGUGAGGAUUAGCAAAUAUACUACAAGUGUCAUUAAAUAUGAAUGUUAUUCUGUCUUCAAGCUGAGAACAAAGAUAAAUCAAUAAAAGCUUCUGAGAUCA
Oreochromis aureus is the source of this 2284-nucleotide long non-coding RNA. The record is from Ensembl. NCBI's taxonomy places the organism in Eukaryota, Metazoa, Chordata, Actinopteri, Cichliformes, Cichlidae.